GNGUGUGAUGAAGGUCUUCGGAUUGUAAAGCACUUUAAGUUGGGAGGAAGGGCAUUAACCUAAUACGUUAGUGUUUUGACGUUACCGACAGAAUAAGCACCGGCUAACUCUGUGCCAGCAGCCGCGGUAAU
Molecule: ribosomal RNA, 131 nt
Filed under: uncultured Pseudomonas sp.
Lineage: Bacteria; Pseudomonadati; Pseudomonadota; Gammaproteobacteria; Pseudomonadales; Pseudomonadaceae
Description: partial 16S ribosomal RNA
Rfam family: Bacterial small subunit ribosomal RNA
Source: RNAcentral